This 73-nucleotide transfer RNA is filed under the name Ixodes scapularis (black-legged tick). It matches the Rfam family "tRNA". Rfam says of the family: Transfer RNA (tRNA) molecules are approximately 80 nucleotides in length. Their secondary structure includes four short double-helical elements and three loops (D, anti-codon, and T loops). Further hydrogen bonds mediate the characteristic L-shaped molecular structure. tRNAs have two regions of fundamental functional importance: the anti-codon, which is responsible for specific mRNA codon recognition, and the 3' end, to which the tRNAs corresponding amino acid is attached (by aminoacyl-tRNA synthetases). tRNAs cope with the degeneracy of the genetic code in two manners: having more than one tRNA (with a specific anti-codon) for a particular amino acid; and 'wobble' base-pairing, i.e. permitting non-standard base-pairing at the 3rd anti-codon position. The record is from Rfam by way of RNAcentral. Lineage: Eukaryota; Metazoa; Arthropoda; Arachnida; Ixodida; Ixodidae.
UCCAGGUUAGCUCGGUUGGUAGAGCGCUCCACUGGAAAAGGAGAGGUUUCUGGUUAGAUACCAGGACGAGGCG